AUUUUGCGCUUCAGCUCCAGCACACGCUCAUCCUGGGAGGGUGUCGCCAGGCUUGUCGCCUGGGCCUUCUUUUCCUCCCACCUGGACCACAACACCACAACAGCACUAGCUUAGAAGAAGACUGAGUAACGCCCAGGAAGGGCCAGCCGUUCUCGAAGUUCCACAACAGACAUCUCACCUUCCAGACCAUAUCCUGGGAUCUUCCAAAUGAUAGGAGAGACCUCAGAGCUGGCAGCUGCACAAGCCACUUGCCCUUAAUGUCCAAGAAGACUUUUCCUCUGCUUCAGUCUGCCUGUGAAGCCCACAUCAGCAGCUCCAGCCUAGAGCCCUUCAGUAGAACUGGACUUCUCAACUGGAUACACCUUGCCCUUUGUGUCUAGGUGAGACCCAGCAGUCAAUUUGAAGAGUCUCCCAGACCUGCCCUCAUGUUCCUGUGAACCUAGCUCUUCUCUGCUUUCUCAUGCAGGCUGCCGCCUCCUCCACCUCUCUUCUUAGCCCUUGGCUUUUUCUGGCUCUGGACUUUUAUACACUUGGGUGCACCUUGCUCUCAUCUGGAGAGUUCAGGGACCUUACCCUUCUACAUGCAGCUCCCCAAAUGUCUACCUCCAUGCAGUUUAGCUCUCUCCCCUUCAGAGAUCCAUCUCUGAUAGGUAGCUCUUUCCUCAAUAAAAACAUUCCAUCCUGCAGGUAAGAGGGAGGCUCCUAGGACUCAGGAAGCAAAGGAAACUUACAAGGCUUAGAAGCUUAGGAAGUUAUAGGAUUCACAAGGCCUGGGGGUGGGCUGGGCUAUGGUUAUAUAGCAAAGAUGCUUGCUGGAAAGAGAAAAUUCUUGGGCAAGUGCUGUAUGGUAAUUUCCUCUAAAGGCAAGCAACCAGUCCAGGAGGUAUGUGAGGGGAGGCUCGUGAGAAUCAAGAUUCUCCCCUGCUUUAUAAAAUGAGUGCACAGCUGCUGAGGAGGAGAUACUGACCAAUAGGGCUGUCAGAGGAAAUUCUCAGACCUGUCAACCUGUCAGGUUGCCUGCAGAUUGUGCAGAGAGCUCUUGGGAUGCAGCUUUCAUGAGCUGUUAUCUGUGUUGGGGUAGGUUUUCAGUGACAAUAAUGCAUAUGAGCCCUCCUGGUGCCUGUAAGUAACCCCCUGCUGUACCACUGGUAGGAACCCCAACAAAUAUUGGUUCACUGGGUUGGAUUUCAUUACCUUGGUCUGUCCAGGGUUCCCUUUCAUGGUAAGUAGAUGAGUGUUGCAUUUCCUCAGGAAAAAGCUCUCAUACAACAGCAGGCUGAACUGCCUGCAGAUUGUACAGGGAGCCCCUGGGGUGCAGCUUUUCUGAGUUGUUCCUCCAACUGGGGUGAAUAUUUUGGUAAGCUCACCUUUGAGACAUCUGUGCCUCCAUAAUUAACCCUUCCCCAUGCUCCUAUAUGCAGUCUAAAUAAACUCACUGGAUCACUAGUUUA
Long non-coding RNA from Rattus norvegicus (Norway rat), 1451 nucleotides. RefSeq lists it as uncharacterized. The record is from RefSeq and is a predicted model, not a curated record. NCBI's taxonomy places the organism in Eukaryota, Metazoa, Chordata, Mammalia, Rodentia, Muridae.